Bactrocera oleae (olive fruit fly) is the source of this 252-nucleotide non-coding RNA. The record is from RefSeq and is a predicted model, not a curated record. NCBI's taxonomy places the organism in Eukaryota, Metazoa, Arthropoda, Insecta, Diptera, Tephritidae.
GGGUCUUCGACGAUUGCUUCUGGCUGUUACAAACUUCGUGGCAAACAGAAUAUUGGUCUAAUCCAGAAAAAGGGUAAUAUUAUAUGUUGACUGUUGAGAGUGCUCGAGCUAGCUAAUGAUAUAUGAUGGAUAUCUUAACACAGCGGAAAUGUCAGAAUGUAUUUUUGUCUUUUUGUGUGCGCCAACAAGCUUUAAUAUUAUGAAAUACAAGUGGUGAAUUUUGUCGUCUAAUAAAGUAUGGCUACACACUUC